RNA transcript from Podarcis raffonei (Aeolian wall lizard), 7799 nucleotides. It is a transcript of the gene named ribosomal modification protein rimK like family member B, with no coding region annotated. The transcript is spliced from 9 exons. The record is from RefSeq and is a predicted model, not a curated record. Lineage: Eukaryota; Metazoa; Chordata; Lepidosauria; Squamata; Lacertidae.
CCGCCCACCGCCCGCUGCUCUUUUCCCCAUCCUUUCCUCAUCCGGCUCGUCGGUCGGUCAGUCGGGAAGGCAGAGCUCGGCCGUGAGGCGGUUUCUGAGGAGGCUCGCUCUGCAGAACAGCCUCUGGGGGCGAGCGAGCGGGCGGGAGCUGGGUGGGUGGGCUGCCUGCCUGCCUGCCUGCCUUUAAAGUCGAGGGGGGAGGGCGGCAUUAAUUGCUCGCUUCUCAACGAGGGCAAGUCGCCCCUCCCUCCUUCCCCCCUCCCCAACUUUCGCGGUUUGGGUUGUGGACUCGCGGAAAGCUCCCCCCCCCCAACCUCAAAGCGCGCGCGAGGAGGGCGGGGCAGAUUCCGUCCACACGUCUACGCCCCCCCCUUUGUUUUCAGCCGUACUUCGCAAUUUCUCCCAAUUAUUGAUCAUGAUCACCGGAAAUAAUCGGGCAGGGUACUAAGGAGGGCGGGGAGGGGAGGGGGGAAAAACACCCCCACCCCCAAUCUUUGUUCUUCGGAUUUGCAAAGCGGUGGUUUAGCCCUCUUCGUUUUGCUGUAACUUCUCCCCUUCCCCCCUCUCCCACCCCACCCCCCCGUUUGAGGCCCCCCCUAGUUUAUUUUUAUUAACCUCUUUCCCUAAUAAUCCAGGGAGGGGUCGGAAGACCGACGCAUCUCUUUCUCUCUCCCCCCCUCGACCCCCCACCCCUAAAUCCAAAGUGCUGUUCACAGGAGGAGGAACGAGUCGGAAAGAAGCAACCAGAUAUUGCUGGUGCCAGGUGCAGCUUUUUAAGGGGCCCAGUUCUGAGGGAGCAGAAACACAAGAGGAGUUUACUGUACUUUGAAUCCUCAGAAUCUAAGAUUCUUUUUUAUCAACCUUCAUUAGAGGGAGGAGGAAUAUAAAAUCUGUCCCCCCACAUUUCUUUACUCUUCAGAGCAGUAGUUAGGCAUCACUCAUUGGGGUACCAGGAUAAUACAGUUCACAUGACAGCUUCUUUCUUAUGGAGGCUCUGUGACCAAACCAAGCUUGAAGAGCUAAAAGGCACUGAGAGGACUUGAUUACCUCCCUGGGGUGGGGUGGGGAGAAAGAAAGAAGGUCCCAAGAAAAGCCUCUUUGCAUUGAAGGAAGAUUGAAGCAACAGUCUCUGGAUAUUGCUGCUCUUCCCACCCCCAAGCGUUGGACAUUCCUUUCAAAGGAGACCUGACGUCUGUGGGACUAGUUCAAGAUGUGUAGUUCGGUUGCUCCCAGGCUCUGGUUUUUAACGGAUCGUCGUAUUAGGGAAGACUACCCUCAACAACAAAUCCUGAGAGCACUCAAGGCCAAAUGUUGUGAAGAGGACCUGGACUUCCGAGCUUUGGUGAUGGAUGAAGUGGUCCUGACCAUUGAGCAAGGAAACCUUGGUCUUCGAGUCAACGGGGAACUCAUCACUGCUUACCCACAGGUAGUGGUGGUGCGUGUGCCAACACCAUGGGUCCAAAGUGACAGUGACAUUACAGUUCUUCGCCAUCUGGAGAAGAUGGGCUGCCGGCUCAUGAAUCGCCCCCAAGCCAUACUUAAUUGUGUCAAUAAGUUCUGGACUUUCCAGGAGCUAGCUGGCCAUGGUGUGCCUCUUCCAGACACCUUUUCCUAUGGUGGUCAUGAAAAUUUUGCCAAAAUGAUUGAUGAAGCAGAAGUGUUGGAGUUCCCCAUGGUUGUGAAGAACACACGUGGUCAUAGAGGUAAAGCUGUGUUUCUGGCAAGAGACAAGCACCAUUUGGCAGACUUGAGCCAUCUAAUUCGUCAUGAGGCCCCUUAUCUAUUCCAAAAAUAUGUCCAAGAAUCCCAUGGCAAAGAUGUUCGUGUCAUCGUAGUGGGAGGUCGUGUGGUGGGCACUAUGCUGCGUUGCUCAACAGAUGGUAGAAUGCAGAGCAAUUGCUCGCUUGGUGGCAUAGGAAUGAUGUGCUCGCUGAGUGAACAAGGCAAGCAGCUGGCAAUCCAGGUGUCCAACAUCUUGGGGAUGGAUGUAUGUGGCAUCGACCUCCUCAUGAAGGAUGAUGGCUCGUUCUACGUCUGCGAGGCCAAUGCAAAUGAGCCAAAAAAGUCAAACAAUCCAGAGAAAAACUUCCCUUCUCCCCUUUCUGAUGGCAAGAGAAAGAGCUUGUGAAAAAUCCUUGAGAAUGUUCCUCCCUAAACUUUUCCCCCCUGUGGUAAAACAGUAAACGCAGCAGUUUGGUGGCAUCCAGUACCGACCUGUUGGCAGGUAACUUUCAGCUCUUUUGAUCAUCCCAUGUUUGCUAACAUUGCUUUCCUUUCUUCUAACACCCUAGUUUUAAUAUUAUUACUGUCCAGAAAGAAUGAGGCUUAGGAAGCAUGUUGAGUUCUUCUUGUUUUUGUUUUUUGCUUUUUUUGCUAGAGCCAUGUUUUAAUAAACCUUUUCAGGAUCCAUGUGUUCAAGUAGGAUCAUGGCAAGGAUGAGUUUAAACAACAUGCACUGCUUCAGAAAGGAGUGGUGGGAUGGUGUGUAAUUCCAUAAAUUCUGCCAUCUCCACCCUCCCAUGUUCCUGUCUUGCUCUUCUCACUCCCUUCCCCCUCCCCCCCAUAUACACUCUUGGCUUAAGUUUUUACAGGGCUUUGGUGCUUUCCAGGGGCACAAUCAGCACAAAACUAAUCGACAUCAAUUAAUAACAGAGUAAUAAAACUGGUAGGUGGCAGCAGAAGAAGGAACUUAUUCAGAUGGCACCCGUGAACUGAGAAUGCUGCCAUGUGUGGAGAGAUGGAUUCCAAAACAUUAGCUGGUGUAACGUGCAAAGAUGAGAGGCAGCUUCCCUGACUUGUCAAUCUGCAUGGUGAGUCUGACUCUUGGUCAAUUCUUAUCCACAAUAAUGGAUCUUUACACUCCACAUUUCUCCUUAAUCUGGAAUACUGACUAAAAGCCAUUAUGGAGGGUUGACAGACCUGUGUGUGCUUGUCUGGAUUUCAUGUUACACAGUACUUUAUAAGAGAUGGUUGCUGACUAGUUUAUCACAACCUUCCCCCAGGGCAUCCAUUUGCUCAUGUUAAAAAAAUGUAACACUUUCUUCCAAAAAGUACUGCUAGAUUGUAUUUUUAUCACUUCCAUUUCAAAGGCAUUUUCUAUGUAGUAUUUAUACUUCUCAUGUAUUUCAAGGUGAAGGAAAUGACUCUGUACAAAUUUCAUUAUAACAGAAAUGGAAUGUGAAAUUUGACAUUUGAUCUCACUGUGGCCCAGAUUUUCAGUUCCAAGGAAUGUUCUGCAUUAAAGAGCCAUUGGCUCAUACUUCAUGUAGGCAAUUCUGUGUGGAAUGAGCAGUUAGAAAUAGAACUCACUGGGGAAAAUUAUCAGCAGCUGAGUGGAAUGAGAAGCAAAUAUUUAUGAUCUCAAAACAUAUUAAAGUAAGAUUUCUUCGACUUUCAUAUUUUCCUACAGACUUUUUCCAAAACUGCCCCUUGAAACUUCAUAUGUUGGAAAUCAAUUGUAGCUGUACAAGCAAUUGCCAUAAGAGAUCUUUUACAACUACUUGCUUGUGAUCAUUACAGUGCCCAUUAGAUCACAGUUAAUCUGGGAGUUAAUGUGCCACAGAUUUUAACCACAAUAUAAACAAUAAUAAACCCAUGAGACAUUUCCACCAAAUGUUCAUGGUUUGCCAUCUGAACAGCUUUGCGUAAGAUAAGAAGAGUUAAUGUGCAAGUGAAUGGCUGCUGGGAUUGCAGAAAUCACUAGAAUCCAUGCAGUACUGCUUGUGGGUAAUAGGAUUCUGUGGAAACAAUUUGUUGGUGCUGCCACAUAUGUGAACUUGUUCUGUGUUUGGUUAGACCAAGGUGUCCCUUGCUUCUCAAUGAUUUUUUGAGUGUCUGAAAUAUAACACUUCUGAGAAGCACAACAUGAGUUUUGGGCUGCCUGUCUUAUUUCAGGGGGGGAAAUUGCAUGGAAACUGGACUGAAGACAGACAGAACUUCAGUUAGAAAAAGCAAGACAACCCUGAAUGAUAUAAUGAUGCAACAAGUUAGCUUUUUCCACCUACAGAGCACAUAAUAGGGUGCCUUAGAGGAGCAGGUAUCUUGAGUACCCUUUUUGCAUUUGAAGAGACUUCCAAGAGAUAUGUGACAGACUGACUUAGAAAAACAGUGGGGAGGAUCAAGGCCUUUAUUCACAGUGCAAUGUGCAACAGUCAUGUUGGAGGUGCAGAGCGUGGGGAGGGAGAAACGCUGGAGCAGGAGGAAGCAGUGGAGCAGGUGGCAGCUGGACAACAUUUGCUGAUCUGUCUCAGGCAGCAAAACGUCUUGAGCAGGCCCUGGGUCUCUUCCCCCCUCCCCCAUGAUAUUUACUUGAACUUGCUGAGUGAUGGCCAAGAAUUUGGCUUGAAGUGACCUUAGUAUAUGGGUGUCAUCCAACUCCCUCUAAUUCAGAUGUGGCAACCUCAUUUCCAGUAAUGGACUGGAUGCGGGCUAAUAAAUUGAAGCUCAACCUAGAUAUGCUGGAGGUAUGAUUAGUGGGUGGGUAGGGGACAUUCAGUUUGUGCAAGAUGGGAUAGCACUCCCUCUUGAACUGGUUCACAGCUUGAGUGCAGGAAGCUCCUGCAGCCAAUCAGAAGCCGUGCCUUGGUUUUCGAACAGUUUCAGGAGUCGAACAGACACCCAGAAUGGAUUAAGUUCAAGAACCAAGGUACCACUGUAUUGCAGAAUAGCAGGACUAUGGAAAGAGUGAUGUGGUCCUGGUUUUCUCCCAGUGCACCAACUUAACUGUAGUUUAAAGUGAUGUGUGAACUGGACCAUUGAUUGUAUGCCUCCCUAAGCUCAUUUCGUAUAAAAACUUGCUAAAAACAAUGUAAAUAAUAAAAUUAAAUGCAGUAAAAGUAGUCAUGCACUAGUCACCUGUGUCUAAGGAGUAAUUCGAUAACCUAGCAUCCUUUCACCCAGGUCCUCUCUUUUUAAUGUGGCUAAAGAAUGCUGAUUUCAGUGCAUACUGCAGACAUGCCUGUAGUCUUUCCACCACACCUGCUUUUCCCAGCUGACAUACCUGAUGAGUGUGUUCAUGUCACUGGAGGGCCAGGGGAAGCAGCUGGGAGGAAAGCUUUGUAAGUGAAAAGGAGAGAGAGGAGCAUUAGGAACCAGUACUGCAAUUUUCCUCUGCUGCUGUGCCACUGUUUAACAAAGAGCCAAGGUGUCAGCCUGUCUGCCCCCCGCCUGAUAUGUAGGUCUACAUAAGUACUGCAGACCAAUCUCUCAGUUGAGUACUUGUAAUAGAAUGUGAUUUGUGCUUAAAAGGGGGAGUAGAAAAAAGCCAGAGACACUGCACUCUCAUGCAUUUUUUAAAAAUAUUUGGAAUCAUUGCUACAGAGUUAGAGAUAUACAGAGAUAUGGCACUGAUUGAGUUAAUAUGCAAAAUUCUUCCUCUCCCACCCCCGUCUCCCUCUAGUUUCCAGAGCCCCUUUUACGUCCUGCCUAAUACAGCUUUCCUUCAGUGCCUUCAUUUCUCCAACCCAUGCUUCUCUUUGCUCUUCUUUUUCAUGGUCCUGUACAUAAGGGCUGCUGCUGUUGUUGUUCACAUCUGUCUGUCUUGAUAGACAACGGAGUGCACCUCUAGGGGCGCAGCCAAACCACUGCAUUAGCAGUACUAAAGUGACCUCCCUGGGAAGCAAGCCUGGGCAGUGUGUAUGGAGGUCCUGGGCUGCCCAGAUGACAAGACUCCUGUCUUGGCCCUUCUUGGCUGCAGGAUUUGCAGGAAGGAGACGUAUCAGGCACCAUCCAACCAUCAUAGACACUCCAUUCCGGAUUUGUGUAGGGUUUACUCCUUAGCUGGCUCUUCUCCUGAAUAUAUCUCAUGAGCCAGCAGAGGUUUAGGAUCAGAGUUUGCCUUUUCCUAUAUGAGCUACCUUCCCAGGUUGACUAGUCCCAUCUGUCCCUCACUUCCCUCUGCAGCACGUGCAGAAACCGCCUUCUUGACCGUUGGACCCACUCUUGCUCAAUCCAGUGGAGCCUGUAUUUGCAUUCAGGGGAAGUCCCUAACUCACCGAGGGUUUGAGACCCAUCAGCUACUCUCACCUGGUUUAGUCAGCCAGUCGAUGCCGUUCCCGGGAUGUGGCCGCUGUCGCUCUGACAGCUUCUAGGAGCCACAGGUGAGAGCUGACUGCAGGGUGGGGACGAAUAGCGGACGAACUACCCCAGAAGGAGCAUGGCGUGUCCCCCACCAGAGGCACUACUUCUCCCCCAGGACCCUAUACACGCCGCAUAAAGGCUAGUAAUGGUUUAAAGCCACACAAAGCUCAUGGAAGCUCCAGGCACACUGCCUUCAGUUCUGUCAUGGAAAAAAGGUGUAAUUUGAAAUAACUUGUCCAGCUUUUUUACACUGCCCUCCUUCGUGCCUCUAGGGCUCUCCUCUUCCAAGACCUCAGCUACUUUCUUUACCAGGCACUCCUGUGUCUUCUCAAGAUUCCUCCCUCUUGCUCCCUACAGCCUCAUCAGUCCUUGGGCUCCGUGUGAAGCUAUUCUUCCAUCCAAAUAGAAACUUUGAACAAAAGGUGACGUGACCAUCUAUGAGUCAAACUAGAUGUGACAAGACAACCGUGUACGUGUGUGUUGUUCAUAUGCAGAACGGGGUUAGGCUGGAUCUAUUUUUGCAUGAAAAGCAGUGUCAGUAAAGAGAAUGAAACCCCUCUUGCCUUAGCUUGCCACAUUCCAGUAUUUCUAAAAAUUCGCCGCUUCCCCUGCCCAGUCAAGCCCUAUUAGCAAAGGAAGCUGAACUCUAGAGAAACUCUUGCUGCAGUGGAAUGCAAUAAGAGAAGGGAGGGGCUUAGUUUCCCUCAAGUGCAUUUUAAAAGAACAUGUUCAAAUUGCAUACUUUGUGCAACCUGCAGAGUUUAUUCCACUUGUGUCCUAACAGUCUUGAGUUCUUGGGCUACUGGAUUUUUAGUUUUGACUAAAGCAGACAUUCAAUCAUAUGGUUAGUCUGCAGGUACUGGCAAAUACUGCAAAUUCAUUUGAUAAAGGAGCAAAGAGAAUUGCUACUAAAGUGUUUUCCCCUUCCUUUCACAUGAAGAUUUCACACAGACUCACCUGUCCCUCAGAAAAGUGGGUAGCAGGAGCCCCACCAGCCUCUGACCCAGUGUUUGGAGGAAUAAGCAAGAUUGCAGUUUGCUCUAGAAGGCCUUGGAGGCAAAACUGCUUCUCCACGAAUUCCAGAACUGUUUUUGUUCCAAAUGACAUUUCCAGAGGCAGGCUUUGUAACUGCAGGAGAAUAGAGUACUGUUGAGCUUGUGAAACUACUUAUGCACUCCCCCCCCCCCUCUAUGCAAUAUUUUCACAGGACUCUGAUGCUGGGUCAGCAGCCCCAGAGACUGCCACUAUCUCGCCAGAGGACAGGUAAUGCAUGGCAGGGGGGUAAUGGUAGCAAUAUGCUUGUUUGACCUGAGCUCAUAUUUUCUACUAUACCUCUUUCUUCCCCAAUAAUGAAGAACCAUCUUCAAGGCUAGUCAGUAUCCUUGAUGAGUCUCUGGUGGCUACCAACGACGAAGCCAACUACUCUGAUGGUGGUUUUUGUGCUACUUGUCUCUCCAUUCCCCCUCCCCAGUAUUCCAGUUCCCUGGUUUUAUAUUACGGUGACCAUUUCUCUCUUAUUUCUGUAGGGUAUAUGAAGCAUCAAGAGACCUUCCUUCCUUCCUUCUUUUUAUGGGUUUUGUUCGUUGCCCUUUGUUUCUCCAGUUGUGAAGGGAAUGGUGCAGGGUGGCAUAAAGUCCAGAGACUGAAACAAAAUGGCAUCAGUGGGAAUAACGUGUUCGUCAUAUAAUAGAAGAUGCUCAAUAAACUGCAGUUAAAGAAAA